UACGGAGGGGGCAAGCGUUAUUCGGAAUCACUGGGCGUAAAGGGCGCGUAGGCGGCUUCAUAAGUCUUGGGUGAAAGCCCUCGGCUCAACCGAGGAAUUGCCUUGGAUACUGUGAAGCUCGAGGCUGGAAGAGGGCAGUGGAAUUCCCGGUGUAGCGGUGAAAUGCGUAGAUAUCUGGAGGAACACCGGUGGCGAAGGCGGCAUCCUGGACCGGUAUUGACGCUGAGGCGCGAAAGCCAGGGGAGCAAACGGG
RNAcentral lists this ribosomal RNA (253 nucleotides) under uncultured bacterium. RNAcentral's name for it is "partial 16S ribosomal RNA". It matches the Rfam family "Bacterial small subunit ribosomal RNA", at positions 524 to 776 of the family's 1533-position model. The record is from RNAcentral.